GCUCUCUGUGAUACCUUGCCCAAGGACAGGGUAUACCAUAAAGUCUGUCAGGAUACAUAUCAAACACUCCCUCAUCUACAUCCGUCCGAUGCAAAAGAAUAUCGACACAACUCCUGUAGAACAUCAGACUGGCGGUUAUGGUCCCAAGGAAAAAUGUCUGACGUGUUCAGAAGAAUUCUUUUCAGUGAACUGAAGGAUCAUGUCAAACACUGCAAGUCUCCAAAUGAGAUCGACACAGCAUUACCUGAAAUUUGCCAUCCAGUGAGCCCAGAAUUUCCUUUUCCGACUAGUCCAGACAGAGAUAACUCAUCCUCUGAUACAGGAAUCAUUGACUUAACAGAUGACCAAGUUCCGUAAACA
This is a long non-coding RNA of Oreochromis aureus, 360 nucleotides long. The record is from Ensembl. Lineage: Eukaryota; Metazoa; Chordata; Actinopteri; Cichliformes; Cichlidae.